GGUUAAGCGACUAAGCGUACACGGUGGAUGCCCUGGCAGUCAGAGGCGAUGAAGGGCGUGCUAAUCUGCGAUAAGCGCCGGUAAGGUGAUAUGAACCGUUAUAACCGGCGAUACCCGAAUGGGGAAACCCAGUGUGACUCGUCACACUAUCAUUAACUGAAUCCAUAGGUUAAUGAGGCGAACCGGGGGAACUGAAACAUCUAAGUACCCCGAGGAAAAGAAAUCAACCGAGAUUCCCCCAGUAGCGGCGAGCGAACGGGGAGGAGCCCAGAGCCUGAAUCAGCAUGUGUGUUAGUGGAAGCGUCUGGAAAGGCGCGCGAUACAGGGUGACAGCCCCGUACACAAAAGCGCAUGUGCUGUGAGCUCGAUGAGUAGGGCGGGACACGUGGUAUCCUGUCUGAAUAUGGGGGGACCAUCCUCCAAGGCUAAAUACUCCUGACUGACCGAUAGUGAACCAGUACCGUGAGGGAAAGGCGAAAAGAACCCCGGCGAGGGGAGUGAAAAAGAACCUGAAACCGUGUACGUACAAGCAGUGGGAGCCCCACCACUAAGCCAGUGGUGAACUCCACAUACGCAUCCUUUGCUGAAGGNNNNNCCACUAAGCCAGUGGUGAACUCCACAUACGCAUCCUUUGCUGAGGAUACGGUUAACGGAGCGAAAGCGACGUUCAACCGCAAAAGAAGCAGAGGGGGCUUAGUGGUGGGGUGACUGCGUACCUUUUGUAUAAUGGGUCAGCGACUUAUAUUCUGUAGCAAGGUUAACCGAAUAGGGGAGCCGGAGGGAAACCGAGUCUUAAUUGGGCGUUAAGUUGCAGGGUAUAGACCCGAAACCCGGUGAUCUAGCCAUGGGCAGGUUGAAGGUUGGGUAACACUAACUGGAGGACCGAACCGACUAAUGUUGAAAAAUUAGCGGAUGACCUGUGGCUGGGGGUGAAAGGCCAAUCAAACCGGGAGAUAGCUGGUUCUCCCCGAAAGCUAUUUAGGUAGCGCCUCGUGAAUUCAUCUCCGGGGGUAGAGCACUGUUUCGGCUAGGGGGCCAUCCCGGCUUACCAACCCGAUGCAAACUGCGAAUACCGGAGAAUGUUAUCACGGGAGACACACGGCGGGUGCUAACGUCCGUCGUGAAGAGGGAAACAACCCAGACCGCCAGCUAAGGUCCCAAAGUCAUGGUUAAGUGGGAAACGAUGUGGGAAGGCCCAGACAGCCAGGAUGUUGGCUUAGAAGCAGCCAUCAUUUAAAGAAAGCGUAAUAGCUCACUGGUCGAGUCGGCCUGCGCGGAAGAUGUAACGGGGCUAAACCAUGCACCGAAGCUGCGGCAGCGACACUCAGGUGUUGUUGGGUAGGGGAGCGUUCUGUAAGCCUGUGAAGGUGGCCUGUGAGGGUNNNUGUAACGGGGCUAAACCAUGCACCGAAGCUGCGGCAGCGAACGUAUCACUUAAAGCGAUUCAGCGGGUUACGAUUGACGGAGCGAAGCGACGUCAAAGCGUAUACAAAGUCGAGUCGGUUUAAGGAUACGUUCGUUGGGUAGGGGAGCGUUCUGUAAGCCUGUGAAGGGGUGUCGUGAGGCAUGCUGGAGGUAUCAGAAGUGCGAAUGCUGACAUAAGUAACGAUAAAGCGGGUGAAAAGCCCGCUCGCCGGAAGACCAAGGGUUCCUGUCCAACGUUAAUCGGGGCAGGGUGAGUCGACCCCUAAGGCGAGGCCGAAAGGCGUAGUCGAUGGGAAACGGGUUAAUAUUCCCGUACUUGGUGUUACUGCGAAGGGGGGACGGAGAAGGCUAUGUUGGCCGGGCGACGGUUGUCCCGGUUUAAGCGUGUAGGCUGGUUUUCCAGGCAAAUCCGGAAAAUCAAGGNUGUUGGCCGGGCGACGGUUGUCCCGGUUUAAGCGUGUAGGUGUGUGUUCCAGGUAAAUCCGGUUCACUUUAACACUGAGGCGUGAUGACGAGGCACUACGGUGCUGAAGCAACAAAUGCCCUGCUUCCAGGAAAAGCCUCUAAGCAUCAGGUAACAUCAAAUCGUACCCCAAACCGACACAGGUGGUCAGGUAGAGAAUACCAAGGCGCUUGAGAGAACUCGGGUGAAGGAACUAGGCAAAAUGGUGCCGUAACUUCGGGAGAAGGCACGCUGACACGUAGGUGAAGUGAUUUACUCAUGGAGCUGAAGUCAGUCGAAGAUACCAGCUGGCUGCAACUGUUUAUUAAAAACACAGCACUGUGCAAACACGAAAGUGGACGUAUACGGUGUGACGCCUGCCCGGUGCCGGAAGGUUAAUUGAUGGGGUCAGCGCAAGCGAAGCUCCUGAUCGAAGCCCCGGUAAACGGCGGCCGUAACUAUAACGGUCCUAAGGUAGCGAAAUUCCUUGUCGGGUAAGUUCCGACCUGCACGAAUGGCGUAAUGAUGGCCAGGCUGUCUCCACCCGAGACUCAGUGAAAUUGAACUCGCUGUGAAGAUGCAGUGUACCCGCGGCAAGACGGAAAGACCCCGUGAACCUUUACUAUAGCUUGACACUGAACAUUGAGCCUUGAUGUGUAGGAUAGGUGGGAGGCUUUGAAGUGUGGACGCCAGUCUGCAUGGAGCCGACCUUGAAAUACCACCCUUUAAUGUUUGAUGUUCUAACGUGGACCCGUAAUCCGGGUUGCGGACAGUGUCUGGUGGGUAGUUUGACUGGGGCGGUCUCCUCCUAAAGAGUAACGGAGGAGCACGAAGGUUGGCUAAUCCUGGUCGGACAUCAGGAGGUUAGUGCAAUGGCAUAAGCCAGCUUGACUGCGAGCGUGACGGCGCGAGCAGGUGCGAAAGCAGGUCAUAGUGAUCCGGUGGUUCUGAAUGGAAGGGCCAUCGCUCAACGGAUAAAAGGUACUCCGGGGAUAACAGGCUGAUACCGCCCAAGAGUUCAUAUCGACGGCGGUGUUUGGCACCUCGAUGUCGGCUCAUCACAUCCUGGGGCUGAAGUAGGUCCCAAGGGUAUGGCUGUUCGCCAUUUAAAGUGGUACGCGAGCUGGGUUUAGAACGUCGUGAGACAGUUCGGUCCCUAUCUGCCGUGGGCGCUGGAGAACUGAGGGGGGCUGCUCCUAGUACGAGAGGACCGGAGUGGACGCAUCACUGGUGUUCGGGUUGUCAUGCCAAUGGCACUGCCCGGUAGCUAAAUGCGGAAGAGAUAAGUGCUGAAAGCAUCUAAGCACGAAACUUGCCCCGAGAUGAGUUCUCCCUGAGACUUAGAGUCUCCUGAAGGAACGUUGAAGACGACGACGUUGAUAGGCCGGGUGUGUAAGCGCAGCGAUGCGUUGAGCUAACCGGUACUAAUGAACCGUGAGGCUUAACCUU
This 3316-nucleotide ribosomal RNA is filed under the name Salmonella enterica. Its description in RNAcentral is "23S ribosomal RNA". It matches the Rfam family "Bacterial large subunit ribosomal RNA". The record is from RNAcentral. Lineage: Bacteria; Pseudomonadati; Pseudomonadota; Gammaproteobacteria; Enterobacterales; Enterobacteriaceae.